This 429-nucleotide ribosomal RNA is filed under the name uncultured prokaryote. Its description in RNAcentral is "bacterial SSU rRNA". It matches the Rfam family "Bacterial small subunit ribosomal RNA", at positions 355 to 776 of the family's 1533-position model. RNAcentral also lists the same sequence under 1 other name. The record is from RNAcentral.
UGGGGAAUCUUCCGCAAUGGACGAAAGUCUGACGGAGCAACGCCGCGUGUAUGAAGAAGGCCUUCGGGUUGUAAAAUACUGUUGUUGGGGAAGAACCGGUUAUGUGAGAAUAUUGCAUAACUCUGACGGUACCCAACGAGGAAGCCCCGGCUAACUACGUGCCAGCAGCCGCGGUAACACGUAGGGGGCAAGCGUUGUCCGGAAUUAUUGGGCGUAAAGGGCGCGUAGGCGGCUAAUCAAGUCUGAUGUGAAAGUGCGGGGCUUAACCCCGUAAAGCAUUGGAAACUGGUUGGCUUGAGGACAGGAGAGGAAAGUGGAAUUCCACGUGUAGCGGUGAAAUGCGUAGAGAUGUGGAGGAACACCAGUGGCGAAGGCGACUUUCUGGACUGUAACUGACGCUGAGGCGCGAAAGCGUGGGGAGCGAACAGG